UAAGACACAAAAGAAUUGAUAACCAGAAAAUGUAUGUUAUUGCAGUUUUACAUUUGUUUUCGAUCCGAAAAAAGUAGGCAAACAAAGAGACUGUUAGCAAAUAUAUUUGUCCUUGAGCAAAGCUUAAUAAAGAAGGUUCAUUUUUUUUGUAUCAUGGAGGUCAAAAAAUGACAGCCGAAUAUAUCAGUCAAUGGCAGAAAAAAGCUACCAAAAAUCAAGGAUUGCUGAAGUGAUAUGUUGUCUGUUUGGCGUACAAUCUCAGAUUAAAAAACCCCAUAUUUACUUUGGCAAUCACAAGGUUCAUGUUGUUUUCUGUACCUACUUAUAUGAGCUGCAAAAUAAAACACAAACAAGAAUCACAGAUUAGAUUAAUCAAGAAGGUAUCUAAAAUAAACUAGAAAUUAGAGAAGGUAUCUAAAACAAACAAGCAUAGCCAAUGUUUUCCUCAAUCAUUCCUAAAAUUAGCAAGUUUGACUUCAACUCAAAUUACGGGACUAAAAUAUGAUGCAAUUCAAUACAGUGCCAGAAAAAUCUUAAUUUCAUCACCUAUAACAGUUCUUUGCAACAUGUCCAAAGGAAUUGAAGGAUUUCUACUAAAUUUACCAAUCAGAGAAAAGUAAAUACUAGAGGAAAGGCAGAAAAAGC
RNAcentral lists this long non-coding RNA (645 nucleotides) under Solanum tuberosum (potato). RNAcentral describes it as "long non-coding RNA (STUB_LNC009732)". The record is from RNAcentral. Lineage: Eukaryota; Viridiplantae; Streptophyta; Magnoliopsida; Solanales; Solanaceae.